CGAUAUACAAGCAUAUUGAUGACCAGCU
This 28-nucleotide small RNA is filed under the name Bombyx mori (domestic silkworm). Its description in RNAcentral is "ovarian small RNA-14257". Lineage: Eukaryota; Metazoa; Arthropoda; Insecta; Lepidoptera; Bombycidae. The record is from RNAcentral.